AGAGAAGAGAAAUAAAAGAUAACAAACAUGUGAGAAUGAAUUGGUGUCAUUUCAAGGGCUUCAAAAUUUUUUCAAAUGAGUAUCACAAGUAGAAAUGCAUUUCAAGAAGUCGCAAGUGAUAAUGAGUUCAACAUUAUAGCCUUCCAAGCUUGAAUCCUCACAAAGGUGGAUGUUUCAAUGAUGCACUCAACUCUCAAGUGUUUAGAUUGGAACGUGUUUGCACUCAAAUUGAAACAAUGUAUGCAAUCUACCAUAAGCUUGCCAUUUAUCCUAACUCUCUAUACUUCAAUGUGUUAUAAAUAAUGAUCAACAAGGGCUUUUCUUGGGUUGUAAUGAGGGCUCUUUGGUAAGGUGAGUAGUUUUUUAGGCAAAGUGACUCAUCCCACAAUCUAAUAAUCACAAUGAACAAAUCAACUUCACCAUUUCUCUUAUCAAUCAAAAACCAAAAUCCCUACAUUUCUUCUUUUCAUCCUUAGUGAUACUUAUCAUGGCUAUGAUUCAAAAGGCAAAUCACUCUCCUUUAUGCUCUUUUAUUCACAUUCAUUUUC
This 548-nucleotide long non-coding RNA is filed under the name Salvia miltiorrhiza (redroot sage). RNAcentral describes it as "long non-coding RNA (SMIL_LNC011108)". The record is from RNAcentral. Lineage: Eukaryota; Viridiplantae; Streptophyta; Magnoliopsida; Lamiales; Lamiaceae.